This 506-nucleotide long non-coding RNA is filed under the name Struthio camelus australis. RNAcentral's name for it is "lncRNA (ENSSCUG00000014697.1)". The record is from RNAcentral. Lineage: Eukaryota; Metazoa; Chordata; Aves; Struthioniformes; Struthionidae.
AGCUGGGGGUUGAGGGCUUGUUAAAGUUGUGACCUGUUUUUCUGUCACUUCCCCCUUUCCAGACGUUCAUUGCCAGGGAGCUCCUUUCUGGCACUCAGUAGCUGGCAAGAUCAUCUUUCAAAGUGACCAUGGAAACUUGGCAGGAAACGCUCCCCAAAGCCUGAAUUUCCGUGGUGUCUCAGCUGUGGAGAGUGAGGCAGCUAAGGAGUACUUUGUUACUUCAGUACACUUUGGAGAAACUAAUGUUAAGUGAUCAUCUUUCUUUGCUGUCCUGUGAACCUAUGAAGCCUUCUCUGAGGAGCAGGAAACAGCAGCUUCUUGAGCUCUUCUUUGUGUGGUGCUGACCUGCUGCUGUUCCUGGAGAGAAAUUCUCAGAUAUAUGGCACCCGCAUACCUCCUAGCAAAAAGAAUCAGGAUCCUGGAGGUAAGACUGGAAAAUGCAGAAGAGUAGCCUGCUAGAGAAACAGUGCCUCUUUCUUGGCCUGGGAAAAGGACUCACCAGAUCA